AUACAGCCUGUCCAAGCUGCAAUCCAUCCUCUUCUCCAAGUCGAGCCUGCCAGCCAUCGUGGUCUGCAGAUAUAUUGCAGCUCGGAGAAGCAAUGAGAGAAAGCUAACUGAUAAGGCAUUUUUCUCCCUUGGCAAAAGACUAACAAUAGUUUCUAAAACAACCCUCUUUUCAUGUUCUAUUCUUGCCUCAAUCUGUUUCCUCCCUUUUCCUGAUAUAUCCAAACCUCCAAGGGAUUUCUGCGCAUAGAGCAUUAAUAUUGGUCCAAGUGCAUACUGUUUGAAUCCCCUUGCCAUCAUAGCAAUCAAAACCCUUUGAAAAAACUCAAUUCUUAGGACAGUUAAAUCAUCAGCCCACCAAUCAAAUGUGGAGGAAUUCAAGCCAUAUUGACUGUCCUUGC
Molecule: unclassified non-coding RNA, 398 nt
Filed under: Hevea brasiliensis (rubber tree)
Lineage: Eukaryota; Viridiplantae; Streptophyta; Magnoliopsida; Malpighiales; Euphorbiaceae
Source: RNAcentral